RNAcentral lists this ribosomal RNA (253 nucleotides) under uncultured bacterium. Its description in RNAcentral is "partial 16S ribosomal RNA". It matches the Rfam family "Bacterial small subunit ribosomal RNA", at positions 524 to 776 of the family's 1533-position model. RNAcentral also lists the same sequence under 1 other name. The record is from RNAcentral.
UACGGAGGGUGCAAGCGUUGUCCGGAUUUAUUGGGUUUAAAGGGUGCGUAGGCGGCCUAUUAAGUCAGGGGUGAAAGACUGCAGCUCAACUGUAGCAGUGCCUUUGAUACUGAUGGGCUUGAGUACAGAUGAGGCCGGCGGAAUGGGUGGUGUAGCGGUGAAAUGCAUAGAUACCAUCCAGAACACCGAUUGCGAAGGCAGCCGGCUAAACUGUAACUGACGCUGAGGCACGAAAGCGUGGGGAUCGAACAGG